Molecule: ribosomal RNA, 774 nt
Filed under: uncultured Neocallimastigales
Lineage: Eukaryota; Fungi; Neocallimastigomycota; Neocallimastigomycetes; Neocallimastigales
Description: partial large subunit ribosomal RNA
Rfam family: Eukaryotic large subunit ribosomal RNA
Source: RNAcentral
UAUCUCUGUAGAGUCUGCAUAUCAAUAAGCGGAGGAAAAGAAACUAACAAGGAUUCCCCUAGUAACGGCGAGUGAAGCGGGAAGAGCUCAAAUUUGAAAUCUUCAAGGUUUGACCUUGACGAAUUGUAGUUUAAAGAAGUGUUUUCGGUUAGAGGAGUAGUAAAAGUUCUUUGGAAUAGGGCAUCAUAGAGGGUGAGAAUCCCGUAUUUGACUAUUCUUUCUAGCUUUGUGAUACACUUUCAAAGAGUCGGAUUGUUUGGGAAUGCAGUCCAAAAUGGGUGGUAAAUUUCAUCUAAAGCUAAAUAUUGGCGAGAGACCGAUAGCGAACAAGUACCGUGAGGGAAAGAUGAAAAGAACUUUGAAAAGAGAGUUAAACAGUACGUGAAAUUGUCAAAAGGGAAGCGUUUGACACCAGUGUUGUUUUUCCGAAAAUCAAUUAAAAAUUGAUUCAUGCCAGGUUGUAUUGACCUUAUCAGCUUGCAAUUUGGUUUUGGGUCUCUUUUUGAUGCACUUUUCGGUUAACAAGUCAACAUCAAUUUCCUUUGCUGUAAAAAGGUAAGAGGAAGGUGGCUUCAAUUUCGGUUGAAGUGUUUAUAGCCUUUAAUCUCUGCAGUCGGGGAGAUUGAGGUCUGCAGCGUAGAUCCUUCGGGGCUAGAUACAUUUAUGCUAAGUUAUAGCUUUUCAUAGACAACUUGUUGACUAUGUUUAGUCAUGUAGCUUACUCGUAAGUGCUAUUUUACCUACGCUUAGGAUGUUGAGCGCAUGUCUCUCUCU